GAUGAGGGUUUAGCAACGCGCCAUGGCAUGCCCUCGCAGAUUGCGUGAAGUAUGACCGCCCCUGCGCUGUCCUCUCCUGGGAAAUAACCGGUUGCACUGACCGUAUAAGGCAGGCGGCAAUGGCCGGGAAAGAAACAGCGGGACCCCACUUUACGACAUCGAGUGGCAGUUGCAGCGUGGACCAGGGUACAAGCAGUGCAGCCACUGAUCUAAACCAUGGCAGAGUUCCCGAAGAAACUAGAGAAGCAGCGUGGCACCAGCGAGAGAACCAGGCUGCCAACAGAAUCAGAGUGCCGUGUUUGUCGGUUCGCUUUCACCGACAUGGCGGCCUUCGAAUACCACACAGUUGACCACAUGCUCGGGAAAAGCCACAACUGCUCUCAUUGUGGUAAACUGUUUAUGUGGCCUUCGCACCUCACGAAGCACUUACGCACACACCGCGAACCAUCCUUUCCGUGCAGCGUGUGUGGCGAAAAAUUUCAUACCAUAGAUGGCCGAAGGAACCACAUCUAUGCGUACCACGUCGGUUCACAGGACUGAGAAGCCGUCGAAGGGUCUCUUUCACCCGGCACCACACACCACGAAAUUGGUCGAGCACGUCUGGAAGCACCGUCGCACCUGACUGUGGAUUCGGCAUCGCUACAGCCGGAUAUUCACCCGGGUAGAGUGCCAUCUGUGGAUGUCACCCUGGCGCCAAGAGAUGUUGUGUGCACUCACAGAAAAACUUGCGGUGUGGGCGUCAACUGUUCUAGCUGUGCACUAACUUCUUGACAAACUACACUGGGCUAAUCUUAUCUCUCCUGACAACGGCCGAAGAAUGCCCCUAAUAAAUUUUUUACAGUGCUUAUUUCGAGGAA
Dermacentor albipictus is the source of this 857-nucleotide long non-coding RNA. RefSeq lists it as uncharacterized. Lineage: Eukaryota; Metazoa; Arthropoda; Arachnida; Ixodida; Ixodidae. The record is from RefSeq and is a predicted model, not a curated record.